This 468-nucleotide ribosomal RNA is filed under the name uncultured bacterium. RNAcentral describes it as "partial 16S ribosomal RNA". It matches the Rfam family "Bacterial small subunit ribosomal RNA", at positions 28 to 507 of the family's 1533-position model. The record is from RNAcentral.
GACGAACGCUGGCGGCGUGCUUAACACAUGCAAGUCGAACGGAAAGGCCCUGCUUUUGUGGGGUGCUCGAGUGGCGAACGGGUGAGUAACACGUGAGUAACCUGCCCUUGACUUUGGGAUAACUUCAGGAAACUGGGGCUAAUACCGGAUAGGAGCUCCUGCUGCAUGGUGGGGGUUGGAAAGUUUCGGCGGUUGGGGAUGGACUCGCGGCUUAUCAGCUUGUUGGUGGGGUAGUGGCUUACCAAGGCUUUGACGGGUAGCCGGCCUGAGAGGGUGACCGGCCACAUUAGAACUGUAAUACGGCCCGGACUCCUACGGGAGGCAGCAGUGGGGAAUGUUGCACAAUGGGCGGAAGCCUGAUGCAGCAACGCCGCGUGCGGGAUAACGGCCGUCGGGUUGUAAGCCGCUUUCGCCUGUGACGAAGCGUGAGUGACGGUAAUGGGUAAAGGAGCACCAGCUAACUACGUG